CCAGUUGGCCGGGCAGCCGCGCUUUAUCAAUGCCGAAAGGCGAUGAGGUGAGGAAAGUCCGGGCUCCACGGAAACACGGUGCCGGAUAACGUCCGGCGAGGGUAACCUCAGGGAAAGUGCCACAGAAAGCAAACCGCCCGAUUUGAUCGGGUAAGGGUGAAAGGGUGGGGUAAGAGCCCACCGCGUCUCUGGCAACAGCGACGGCACGGAAAACCCCACCGGGAGCAAAACCGAAUAGGGAUGACGCGGGACGCGCAGGCGCCCCAGCCCGUUUCCGGGCCGGUCAUCCGGGUGGGUUGCACGAGGCGUCGCGCAAGCGCCGUCCCAGAUGAAUGGCUGCCACGUUCCGGUCACGGCCGGAGCCAUACAGAACCCGGCUUACAGGCCAACUGGCAAA
This 397-nucleotide RNase P RNA is filed under the name Rhizobium sp. JAB6. RNAcentral's name for it is "Bacterial RNase P class A". It matches the Rfam family "Bacterial RNase P class A". From Rfam's summary of the family: Ribonuclease P (RNase P) is a ubiquitous endoribonuclease, found in archaea, bacteria and eukarya as well as chloroplasts and mitochondria. Its best characterised activity is the generation of mature 5'-ends of tRNAs by cleaving the 5'-leader elements of precursor-tRNAs. The record is from Rfam by way of RNAcentral. Lineage: Bacteria; Pseudomonadati; Pseudomonadota; Alphaproteobacteria; Hyphomicrobiales; Rhizobiaceae.